This 35-nucleotide ribosomal RNA is filed under the name Platanthera zijinensis. RNAcentral's name for it is "partial 26S ribosomal RNA". Lineage: Eukaryota; Viridiplantae; Streptophyta; Magnoliopsida; Asparagales; Orchidaceae. The record is from RNAcentral.
UGACCCCAGGAUGGGCGGGAUGACCCGCUGAGUUU